This 1488-nucleotide ribosomal RNA is filed under the name metagenome. RNAcentral's name for it is "bacterial LSU rRNA". It matches the Rfam family "Bacterial large subunit ribosomal RNA", at positions 1294 to 2911 of the family's 2925-position model. The record is from RNAcentral.
AUGCUGACAUGAGUAACGUAAGGGGUGUGAGAGACACCCCCGCCGAAAGUCCAAGGGUUCCUGCUUAAAGCUAAUCUGAGCAGGGUUAGCCGGUCCCUAAGGCGAGGCCGAAAGGCGUAGUCGAUGGGAAUCACGUUAAUAUUCGUGAGCCUGCGGGUAGUGACGGAUCGAGUAAGUUGUCCAAUCUUAUCGGAUUGAACGGGCAGCGAAUCGGUUCCAGGAAAUAGCUCCCACUUAUAGUCCGUACCCGAAACCGACACUGGUGGACUGGUAGAGAAUACCAAGGCCUUGAGAGAACUAUGCUGAAGGAACUCGGCAAAUUGCACGCGUAACUUCGGGAUAAGCGUGACCCUUCUGUACGCAAGUGCAGGGGGGUGGCACAGACCAGGGGGUAGCGACUGUUUAUCAAAAACACAGGGCUCUGCGAAGUCGCAAGACGACGUAUAGGGUCUGACGCCUGCCCGGUGCUGGAAGGUUAAGAGGAGAGGUGCAAGCUUUGAAUCGAAGCCCCAGUAAACGGCGGCCGUAACGAUAACGGACCUAAGGUAGCGAAAUUCCUUGUCGGGUAAGUUCCGACCUGCACGAAUGGCGUAACGACUUCCCCGCUGUCUCCAGCAUAGACUCAGUGAAAUUGAAUUCCCCGUGAAGAUGCGGGGUUCCUGCGGUUAGACGGAAAGACCCCGUGCACCUUUACUAUAGCUUUACAUUGGCAUUCGUAGUGGCAUGUGUAGGAUAGGUGGUAGGCUUUGAAGCUUGGACGCCAGUUCGAGUGGAGCCACCCUUGAAAUACCACCCUUAUCUCUAUGGAUGUCUAACCGCGGCCCGUCAUCCGGGUCCGGGACAAUGUAUGGUGGGUAGUUUGACUGGGGCGGUCGCCUCCUAAAGAGUAACGGAGGCGCGCGAUGGUGGGCUCAGAACGGUCGGAAAUCGUUCGCUGAGUGCAAUGGCAUAAGCCUGCCUGACUGCGAGACUGACAAGUCGAGCAGAGACGAAAGUCGGUCAUAGUGAUCCGGUGGUCCCGCGUGGAAGGGCCAUCGCUCAACGGAUAAAAGGUACGCCGGGGAUAACAGGCUGAUGACCCCCAAGAGUCCAUAUCGACGGGGUUGUUUGGCACCUCGAUGUCGACUCAUCGCAUCCUGGGGCUGGAGCAGGUCCCAAGGGUAUGGCUGUUCGCCAUUUAAAGCGGUACGUGAGUUGGGUUCAGAACGUCGUGAGACAGUUCGGUCCCUAUCUGCCGUGGGUGUAGGAAUAUUGAGAGGAUCUGUCCCUAGUACGAGAGGACCGGGAUGGACGUAUCUCUGGUGGACCUGUUGUGGCGCCAGCCGCAUAGCAGGGUAGCUAUAUACGGACGGGAUAACCGCUGAAGGCAUCUAAGCGGGAAACCCACCUCAAAACGAGUAUUCCCUGAGAGUCGUGGUAGACGACCACGUUGAUAGGCCGGGUGUGGAAGAGCGGCAACGCUUGAAGCUUACCGGUACUAAUAGCACA